This 477-nucleotide long non-coding RNA is filed under the name Androctonus crassicauda. Lineage: Eukaryota; Metazoa; Arthropoda; Arachnida; Scorpiones; Buthidae. The record is from RNAcentral.
AUUUGUUGUAAAUGGUACCAUCUGUGUUUUUCGACACUUGUUCUAUUAUUUGUUAUGCUCUUGUAAAUGUUAAUCGAGUUUUGCAGUAAAUUUUUGUAUUUCGCUCACGUUUUCCUUUCUUUAAAACUAGUUUUAAAACUUCCGCAACUAAGUUUUCGAACAAUUUUCUUAGUCUCAAAACCAUUGGAUGUAUAUCGUUACAGUCAGGGCCGGCUCAACAUACCAUCGAGCGGAGCUCAGGAUGAUGGCGCAUUUUGUGUUUUAUUAUUAAUAUUGUAGUAAGACCAACGAAGACACGAUUAUUUCUUACACAUAAUUUAAACAGUGGCCAUCAAAAAUGAUAAGUUGGAGCCGCUAAAGACUCUAGAGCCGGUAUUACAUUUACAAUAUAACAUUUUACAUUGAAGUCUGAUCUGCAGUGUUAUGUUUACGCACCAUUAGCAUAUCUAAAAGUUAUAUUCAUUCUUUACAUGAAAG